RNAcentral lists this ribosomal RNA (337 nucleotides) under Rhipicephalus turanicus. RNAcentral's name for it is "partial large subunit ribosomal RNA". Lineage: Eukaryota; Metazoa; Arthropoda; Arachnida; Ixodida; Ixodidae. The record is from RNAcentral.
GAAUGCUAAGAGAAUGGAAACCCAGAAAAAAACUUUUUUUAAAUUAAAAAUUGAAAUUUUUUUAAUUUGUGCAGAAACAAUUAUUAAUAUUAAGGACAAGAAGACCCUAUGAAUUUAUAAAAUUCUAUUAAAUAUGUUAUUGCUGUUGUAGAAUUUUUGGCUGGGGCGGCUAAAAAAUAUUUUAAACUUUUUAAAAGUAAAAUGAUCCAUUAUUAAUGAUUACAUGUGAAAUACUCUAGGGAUAACAGCGUUAUAUUUUUUGAUAGAUCAUAUUGACAAAAAAGUUUGCGACCUCGAUGUUGGAUUAGGAUACUUUUUUAAUGCAGAUAUUAAAAAA